Molecule: ribosomal RNA, 1239 nt
Filed under: Enterococcus faecium
Lineage: Bacteria; Bacillati; Bacillota; Bacilli; Lactobacillales; Enterococcaceae
Description: bacterial SSU rRNA
Rfam family: Bacterial small subunit ribosomal RNA
Source: RNAcentral
AAACAGGUGCUAAUACCGUAUAACAAUCGAAACCGCAUGGUUUUGAUUUGAAAGGCGCUUUCGGGUGUCGCUGAUGGAUGGACCCGCGGUGCAUUAGCUAGUUGGUGAGGUAACGGCUCACCAAGGCCACGAUGCAUAGCCGACCUGAGAGGGUGAUCGGCCACAUUGGGACUGAGACACGGCCCAAACUCCUACGGGAGGCAGCAGUAGGGAAUCUUCGGCAAUGGACGAAAGUCUGACCGAGCAACGCCGCGUGAGUGAAGAAGGUUUUCGGAUCGUAAAACUCUGUUGUUAGAGAAGAACAAGGAUGAGAGUAACUGUUCAUCCCUUGACGGUAUCUAACCAGAAAGCCACGGCUAACUACGUGCCAGCAGCCGCGGUAAUACGUAGGUGGCAAGCGUUGUCCGGAUUUAUUGGGCGUAAAGCGAGCGCAGGCGGUUUCUUAAGUCUGAUGUGAAAGCCCCCGGCUCAACCGGGGAGGGUCAUUGGAAACUGGGAGACUUGAGUGCAGAAGAGGAGAGUGGAAUUCCAUGUGUAGCGGUGAAAUGCGUAGAUAUAUGGAGGAACACCAGUGGCGAAGGCGGCUCUCUGGUCUGUAACUGACGCUGAGGCUCGAAAGCGUGGGGAGCAAACAGGAUUAGAUACCCUGGUAGUCCACGCCGUAAACGAUGAGUGCUAAGUGUUGGAGGGUUUCCGCCCUUCAGUGCUGCAGCUAACGCAUUAAGCACUCCGCCUGGGGAGUACGACCGCAAGGUUGAAACUCAAAGGAAUUGACGGGGGCCCGCACAAGCGGUGGAGCAUGUGGUUUAAUUCGAAGCAACGCGAAGAACCUUACCAGGUCUUGACAUCCUUUGACCACUCUAGAGAUAGAGCUUCCCCUUCGGGGGCAAAGUGACAGGUGGUGCAUGGUUGUCGUCAGCUCGUGUCGUGAGAUGUUGGGUUAAGUCCCGCAACGAGCGCAACCCUUAUUGUUAGUUGCCAUCAUUCAGUUGGGCACUCUAGCAAGACUGCCGGUGACAAACCGGAGGAAGGUGGGGAUGACGUCAAAUCAUCAUGCCCCUUAUGACCUGGGCUACACACGUGCUACAAUGGGAAGUACAACGAGUUGCGAAGUCGCGAGGCUAAGCUAAUCUCUUAAAGCUUCUCUCAGUUCGGAUUGCAGGCUGCAACUCGCCUGCAUGAAGCCGGAAUCGCUAGUAAUCGCGGAUCAGCACGCCGCGGUGAAUACGUUCCCGGGCC